UGGGGAAUAUUGCACAAUGGGGGAAACCCUGAUGCAGCGACGCCGCGUGAGCGAAGAAGUAUCUCGGUAUGUAAAGCUCUAUCAGCAGGGAAGAAGAUGACGGUACCUGACUAAGAAGCACCGGCUAAAUACGUGCCAGCAGCCGCGGUAAUACGUAUGGUGCAAGCGUUAUCCGGAUUUACUGGGUGUAAAGGGAGCGUAGACGGAGAAGCAAGUCUGGAGUGAAAGCCCGGGGCUCAACCCCGGGACUGCUUUGGAAACUGUUUUUCUGGAGUGCCGGAGAGGUAAGCGGAAUUCCUAGUGUAGCGGUGAAAUGCGUAGAUAUUAGGAGGAACACCAGUGGCGAAGGCGGCUUACUGGACGGUAACUGACGUUGAGGCUCGAAAGCGUGGGGAGCAAACA
This 402-nucleotide ribosomal RNA is filed under the name uncultured bacterium. RNAcentral's name for it is "bacterial SSU rRNA". It matches the Rfam family "Bacterial small subunit ribosomal RNA", at positions 355 to 774 of the family's 1533-position model. The record is from RNAcentral.